AUGGAUCUUCUCCAGUUUGUGCUCAACUUUAAAGGCACACCACCAUGGCUGAACUCGACGGCCAUUACCGCCCUUACGGACCGUUGGAGGCCGGAGACGCACUCUUUUCACCUUGCUCUUGGUGAGAUGACCGUCACUUUGGAGGAUAUUGCGAUGAUCUCCGGUCUUUCGAUCGAGGGCAGGGCUCUUACCGGGAAGGUAAAGUCCGAGGGGUGGCGACAAAGGGUUGCAGGUUUGGUUGGUGUUGAACCUCCCCCGUGGAUUCAUGAAACAAAGAAGGAUCCUAGGCCAUCUGGUGUUUUGUUCUCAUGGCUACAAGAACAUUUUUACGAGUGCCCAGAGAAUGCUAGUCCGGCUGUUGUGGAGAGGUAUGCCAUGGCUUACUUAUGGAAUCUUUUGACCCAAGUGGUGUUUCCUGAUGGCACCGGAGACACAACCUCGUGGAUGUUCUUGGACCCUCUUCGUAACUGGGAUGUUAAGUGGAGUUGGGGGUCGGCGGCACUAGCCUUCUUGUACCGUCAGUUGGACGGAGCAUGUAUGAGGAGUGAGCCGAAAUCUUGUCUUGGUGGUUUUGUUUGGGCCCUACAGAUUUGGAUGUGGGAGCGUAUCCCUGUGGGUCGUAACUUGACCAUUGCUCCGGAAGAACCCUGGGAGUGGCCUUUUGACGGGGAUGAGGAGCGGUAUCCCACUAUCGCAUACACGUGGGCUAAUGUCCAAGUGUCUAGUAUCGCAGCCAUGGGGCGGUACAAGGCAUACAUAAGCGAGCUCGACAUGCUUACUUACAACCAGAUGUUGUGA
This 798-nucleotide ribosomal RNA is filed under the name Triticum aestivum (bread wheat). RNAcentral's name for it is "partial small subunit ribosomal RNA". The record is from RNAcentral. Lineage: Eukaryota; Viridiplantae; Streptophyta; Magnoliopsida; Poales; Poaceae.